CCCCACAAGAAACAAUUUUUGCACACCUACUUUCCAAACAUGGAGCAUCCAAUUGCGUUGGUUGAGUCUGGAGCUCAGCCAGGUCAGCUCCAGUUCCCAAUUGUCCAAACUGAUUCCCACCAAAGGCAUAUACAUGGCCAUUGGCGGUGAUACAAAUGGUAUGCCAUAGUCCAGCAGCAACACUUUCCACUUUAAUUCCCGAUAAAGUAGGUACACAAGCAGGCCUCAGCUGAUCAUUUGUGCUUACUUGCCCACACUGUCCAUAGAGUCCCCAU
This 275-nucleotide unclassified non-coding RNA is filed under the name Hevea brasiliensis (rubber tree). Lineage: Eukaryota; Viridiplantae; Streptophyta; Magnoliopsida; Malpighiales; Euphorbiaceae. The record is from RNAcentral.